UACUUUAAAGGGAACAGAUC
RNAcentral lists this small nuclear RNA (20 nucleotides) under Eremothecium sinecaudum. Its description in RNAcentral is "HFLSNR18". The record is from RNAcentral. Lineage: Eukaryota; Fungi; Ascomycota; Saccharomycetes; Saccharomycetales; Saccharomycetaceae.